UCAGCCCUGUGUUCCCUCAGCCCUAUGUUCCCUCAGCCCUAUGUUCCCUCAGCCCUAAUCCUAACCCCUAAACCAAGAUGAUCAAUAUUACUGCAGCAAUGAAUACAAGGCCACAUAUCCAAAACAUAAUAUAUGACUGGGGGUGGGGAGUUAUGUGGGCUGAGGGAACACAGCGACCUCCCC
Long non-coding RNA from Sander lucioperca (pikeperch), 183 nucleotides. RefSeq lists it as uncharacterized. The transcript has 4 exons. The record is from RefSeq and is a predicted model, not a curated record. Lineage: Eukaryota; Metazoa; Chordata; Actinopteri; Perciformes; Percidae.